Molecule: ribosomal RNA, 254 nt
Filed under: uncultured bacterium
Lineage: Bacteria
Description: partial 16S ribosomal RNA
Rfam family: Bacterial small subunit ribosomal RNA
Source: RNAcentral
CACGUAGGGGGCAAGCGUUGUCCGGAUUUAUUGGGCGUAAAGAGCUCGUAGGCGGCUCAGUAAGUCAGGUGUGAAACCUCCAGGCUCAACCUGGAGACGCCACCUGAUACUGCUGUGGCUUGAGUCCGGUAGGGGAGCGUGGAAUUCCUGGUGUAGCGGUGAAAUGCGCAGAUAUCAGGAGGAACACCAGCGGCGAAGGCGGCGCUCUGGGCCGGUACUGACGCUGAGGAGCGAAAGCGUGGGUAGCAAACAGG